GGAGGCAUUCCAAAACCCCCUGGCCUCCUUUUCUGUCCGGCUACCUCUGGACUUCAUUUUCCUCUGCCUGAGAUGUCCUUUCCCACCUCCUCAACUUUACUCCUUUCCAAACAGCCGAGACGCCUCUAGGAAGCUUUCCCUGGACCGGUGUUUCCACAACGCUCUGCCCCAACUGCAGUUCUUACGUUAUUACGAAAGUGGCUGUCAUGUGUCUGCUUUCCCACAAAACCACACCUUUGAGGGCAGGGAAGCAGGCCCAGCCCAGGUAAGAUAUGGUUGGGACCAAUCAGCAGAAAUAGCUGGUGAUGCUACUACCUGUGUCCUCUGCCCUACUGCUUGGAGCAUCAGGUCCAGGACCCUUAGCUGCAUUAAGGGAAUGUGGCGGAGUAGAAAAAGGAGUUCUGAAAGCAGACAGGCCUGGAUUCGAAUGUUUGUUCCAUCAGUGAUUAGCUGAGUGAUCUUAUGUGAGUUUCUUAACCUGUCUGGGCCACUGUCUUAUCUGUACAUUAGGACUAUUAAUUACUGUUUAAGAUUGCUGUAAAGUUUGAGUGAAAUAAUAUAUACAAAGCCCCUGACAUGUAAUAGGUGCUAAAUAAAUGUCUUUAUCUGUUACUGCUAUUCCUCUCUCCCUCCUGCUCCAUCCUGACACCGGCCUCACGGAAGUUUCCUUGCUCUUGCCCCUUGGCCUUCCUGCCUUGGCUCACACUCCCUCCACCAGCCUCCACUCGCUCAGAUCUUCCAGUUGGAAAGAACCCCUUCCCUGGGCUCCUGUUCCCCCGCAGCGUGUGGGAGUCCUCACGACUCAGUCAGCUGGACUCGUAGAUGGUUCCUGGGUUGGAAGCUCCUGGAAAUGAUCUACAGGAAAGCCCCACCACCCUGUAAGUACGGGCGGGAAGGACUCCCAGAGCCUCCGCUGCGUGCACAGAGCUGCUCCCUGGCCCUGGAAUCAGAAAUCUCAUCCCUUCCUCCCAGAGCCACACCUCACAGCUGGACCACCGGGCCCCCUGGCGUCCCUGUGAGGGGCCUCCCCAGCCAGUCUUCCCAAAGCUCCCCCUGCCUCCCAGCUCUCUCCUGCCCCAGAGCGUCCACGGUCCCGCCGCUCCGAGGUCAAAUCCAAAUCCACAGCGAGACCCUCAAGUGAGGCUGGACCACCUGUCCACCCUUCCCUUCUGCUGUGCCCUGCUGAGCUCCUGCCACACCUGGCUUCUGCCCAUGAAGAUGGACACAAAAGUCUGUCCCAUGCUGACCUCUCCUGCCACUAAAACUGCCUCUAACAGGAAGCCUGCCCCUCCCCAUUAGCUACAGUUGCCUCCCUCCUAUAGCUCUGCAUUUUUGCAUAUUAUCAAAACUGAUUUGGGUAGAAUUCUGCACUCAAGUGAAUGUUCUGAAAGGGCAAGCAUAUAUUUGUGAUCAUUCACUUACUCAGUCAACAAACAUGUCCAGUCCAGUGCACAAGCACUGUGCGGGGUGCUGGGUACUGGGGUGCAUCAGUAACUAAAAUGGGUUCCAACCACUUCAGAACCUUCCAGCCAGUUGGAAAUAAAGCAGCAGAUGAGGGGAGAAAAUCACCCAGAACCCCACCAAUGUAUUGGAGCAUUUCUUUCCAGUUUUAAAAACAUAUAAUAACCUACCUAAACUACCUGGAUGGGUACAUAUUACUCUACAGCCUUAAGGUGAGGAAACUGAGACACAGAGAGCUUAAGUCCAAGGUCAAAGGAAUGGCAGGUCUGGAUUUUAACUCAGGCAGCCCAGCUCUGAGCCCGCUACCCUAACCCACCCACUACCUUUUAAAAAAUAUGAGUCAAGCUGCGUGUCCUUUGGAAACCCCAAGUUUUCACUUCUGCCUGACCUGUGUGGCCCCGUGGUUGAGUGUUGACCCAUGAGCCAAGAGGUCCCUGCUUUGAUUGGUUUGAUUUCCUGUCAGGCAUAUGCUCAGG
Molecule: long non-coding RNA, 1937 nt
Organism: Myotis davidii
Lineage: Eukaryota; Metazoa; Chordata; Mammalia; Chiroptera; Vespertilionidae
Exons: 3
Source: RefSeq, a predicted model, not a curated record